RNAcentral lists this ribosomal RNA (498 nucleotides) under uncultured Glomeromycotina. RNAcentral's name for it is "partial small subunit ribosomal RNA". It matches the Rfam family "Eukaryotic small subunit ribosomal RNA", at positions 591 to 1092 of the family's 1831-position model. Lineage: Eukaryota; Fungi; Glomeromycota. The record is from RNAcentral.
CCAAUAGCGUAUAUUAAAGUUGCUGCAGUUAAAAAGCUCGUAGUUGAAUUUCGGGACUAAUAUGUCGGUCGUGCCUCGGUACGUACUGGUUUAUUGGUUUCUCCUUUCUGAAGAACCAUGAUGUCAUUUAUUUGGUGUCGUGGGGAAUCAGGACUGUUACUUUGAAAAAAUUAGAGUGUUUAAAGCAGGCUCACGCUUGAAUACAUUAGCAUGGAAUAAUGAAAUAGGACGUUUGAUUCUAUUUUGUUGGUUUCUAGGAUCGACGUAAUGAUUAAUAGGGAUAGUUGGGGGCAUUAGUAUUCAAUUGUCAGAGGUGAAAUUCUUGGAUUUAUUGAAGACUAACUACUGCGAAAGCAUUUGCCAAGGAUGUUUUCAUUAAUCAAGAACGGAAGUUAGGGGAUCGAAGACGAUCAGAUACCGUCGUAGUCUUAACCAUAAACUAUGCCGACUAGGGAUCGGAUGAUGUUAAUUUUUUAAUGACUCAUUCGGCGCCUUACG